UACGUAGGGUGCAAGCGUUGUCCGGAAUUAUUGGGCGUAAAGAGCUCGUAGGCGGUUUGUCGCGUCGAAUGUGAAAACCCGGGGCUCAACCCCGGGCCUGCAUUCGAUACGGGCAGACUAGAGUUCGGUAGGGGAGUCUGGAAUUCCUGGUGUAGCGGUGAAAUGCGCAGAUAUCAGGAGGAACACCGGUGGCGAAGGCGGGUCUCUGGGCCGAAACUGACGCUGAGGAGCGAAAGCGUGGGGAGCAAACAGG
This 253-nucleotide ribosomal RNA is filed under the name uncultured bacterium. Its description in RNAcentral is "partial 16S ribosomal RNA". It matches the Rfam family "Bacterial small subunit ribosomal RNA", at positions 524 to 776 of the family's 1533-position model. The record is from RNAcentral.